AUUUAAAUAGCUUAAAUUAAAAGAGCAUGAUAUUGAAGAUAUCAAGGUAAUAUUUUUUAUUUUUAAAUA
This 69-nucleotide transfer RNA is filed under the name Scaptodera rhadamistus. RNAcentral describes it as "tRNA-Phe". The record is from RNAcentral. Lineage: Eukaryota; Metazoa; Arthropoda; Insecta; Coleoptera; Scarabaeidae.